RNAcentral lists this ribosomal RNA (338 nucleotides) under uncultured Pseudomonadota bacterium. Its description in RNAcentral is "bacterial SSU rRNA". It matches the Rfam family "Bacterial small subunit ribosomal RNA", at positions 29 to 351 of the family's 1533-position model. Lineage: Bacteria; Pseudomonadati; Pseudomonadota. The record is from RNAcentral.
AACGAACGCUGGCGGCGUGCCUAACACAUGCAAGUCGAACGGAAUCAAGGGGCUUGCUCCUUGGUUUAGUGGCGCACGGGUGAGUAACGCGUGGAUAAUCUGCCCUGGUAUCCUGGAUAACAUUUCGAAAGAGGUGCUAAUACGGGAUAAGCCCACGGGGUCUUCGGACCUUGCGGGAAAAGGUGGCCUCUGAAUAUGCUACUGUAUCAGGAUGAGUCCGCGUACCAUUAGCUAGUUGGCGGGGUAACGGCCCACCAAGGCGACGAUGGUUAGCUGGUCUGAGAGGAUGAUCAGCCACACUGGAACUGAGACACGGUCCAGACUCCUACGGGUGGCUG